GAAGGUUUCAGCUUCGGGAUCAUUAAAGUAACAUGAUGAUUUCCUACUUUCAUUUCUAACGUGAAAGUAACAUGAUCAUUUCAGAGGAAUAUGUCCACAAGUAUAAAUAGAUCAACGGUACAGGUGUGUAGAUAUCUGACUCUAGUGAAUUAUAUUUGCACAAGAGUACCAGGCCUCCAACUUCAUUAUCAGAAUGAAUUCCUAAUUAGAGAUAAUAUUCAUCUCUAAUCUCCUUUUGUGACUGCAGGUACCUGUCUGGCUUGUUGAGGAUUCAGUUUCACAUACUUGUUGUCAUCAAUUAGUGCAGUAAGCAUGGAAGCGAAAGCAUGCUAUGAAAAGACUGAAUAAUACUGCAAAGGAAAAAUCUUUGAAGGCUAAGAAGUAGUGGUAUUAUGACACCUCCUUAAUAACACCCACUUAAAACUUCCAAGUUACUUUUUUCACACAAGGAUGGCAAAGGGAUUGUGGCACCCCAUUCAGAUACACUAGUAAUUGAAGGCAUAAUUCAAGAUUUCCAGGCGUGAUGCAUAUUGACAGCUCAUGUAAGUUCUAUCAAUAUCCAUAUACUUCAAGCCUUCAACAAUAUGGGGUUACGUCUUGAAUCCUUACAACCAACUGGAACCCAUCUGACAGGAUAGGAAAUCCACCCAAUACCAACAACAAGAACAAUCAAAUUGGGGCAGGAAGGAUUAACAAAAAGAUUUAUGGCUGACUUUUUAUUCUAAAUAUAUCCAUUGCCUACAAUUCCAUCUUUGGAAGACCUAGUUUACAUGAUAUAGUGCAAACUUCAUUGUGUGGCUGGGGAGAAAGAAAAAUUAGAAUAAAAGUAUCAUGAUACUGUAAAGGCAGUUGCUUCGUACAGAUUAUAGGGAGAAAGAAAAUUAGAACAGAAGUAUCAUGAUAUCCACCCCAGUUAGGAAAGACAGGGUCAUCUAACAACAGGGGAGCCGUCACUCCCAAAAAGACAGGUGCUGCAUAUUUUCUCCUUUUAAUAUCAGGUUGACUUCCCAUAGUUGUUUUUGAUCCACUUGGACCAGAAGCAGGAGUCGUAUCGCAUCUUGGGACUUUGCCAUCAAUACAUCAUUCAUACUUGGGAAAGCGAGUAAUUUUUCAAGAAAAUGCGCUAUGAAAACAGCUGUUACCUCAGAGUAACAAAUAGAAAGACAAAAUAUUUGGAAACCAGCUUUUACCUGAUGCUGCAAUAUCGUAGAGUUCAUCAACGUCAAAAAGAUGCAUAUAUACUUUCGAAUGACAUCUGUAAUAUUGAAAGCGCCUGAGCUAAAAGCUUUGAACUUCUUUAUCAAAGUCUCUUCACCUUCUUUCAAGCCUCUUGCCCCACAGAGAGAUAUUUUUGGCACUUCUUGCCCAAUUAGAGCUUGCUAAACCAAAACAGUCCAAAUAAAAGAAAAUGAAGAAUUUGUCUUUCCAGACUUUUAUUGAAGAUGGCGCUCCCCAGAAAACAUUGCAAUUUGGCAAGCCCAAAAGAUACUAGAAAUAUUCGUGACUCCUCUUCCCAUGGUGAAACACAUGACUUAUAACGCAUUGAUUUUGAGAGGGAUGACAUGCACAAUGGAUAUCAGACCAUGCUGACAAAAAUUCUCCAAGCAUUAGGACUCCAAUGACUAGGAGCCAAGUCAUAGGCAUUGAAAACUUGAUAAAAUGCCUUUUGGAGAGGAAAGCGAAUACCUACUUCAGGAUCUUCUUCAUACAUCAUAAUGUUGUUUGGCUGGCAUCUUCAUUUGCUCUAAACAACUCAGAGGGUAAUCAUAACUCAUAUGAAAAUGUGAUGUGGUAAUUUAGUUGAAUUCGCAACAAAUCAACUUUUUUAAGAACACUGGCAAUAUCACUAACUUGAAGAUUAGAUCACUGGACUCCUGCCAUCAGCAUCAAGAAAUGGUUUUUGCUGAUUUUGUGGGUUGUUUGGUUUCUAUUGUAUCCCAAUAUAAAGAGAUCUUUUUUGCAGGAAGCAUUUUAUAAAGAAUGGUAUUAAGAAACCUGUCUGUAAGACACUUGGCCACCUUUUUUCAAAGAUGUGGAAAACAACAAGACAAAAACAGAAGUUGGAACAGCAUUCUUAUCAAUUAUAAGAUGAUACUGUGGGAGGACAUCUGAUAACAGAUGACAAUUUUGAGUUAGUUCAGAAUGCCAAGACCAAGCGCUACCACUGAGUCCGAUUCACGUUUCAGGUAUCAAUUACACCAGGUCAUGAUAAAACUCCUUUGUGAGUUGUGACAUUGACUCCAUACUCAUACAUGAAUGCUAUUAGCAUAUAAAGUCUAGAAGAUUCGUAUCCUUUUUCUCAUCAGGAUUAGACAACAACUAGGAUAAGGACUUCAAACUGAGUUAUAUACCCAUCACAUCGAUACAAAGUAUGUAAAUAUCUUACUCUAUUGAAUAAUAUUUGCACAAGAGUUCCAGACCUCUCAAGCAUCAAAGUGGGCUCCUAAAUAGAGCAAGGAUUCCUGUCUAAUCUCCUUUUGUGACUGUAGGUACCUGUCAAGCUUGUUGAGAAUUCAGUUUCGCAUACCCUUUGUUAUAAACAACAUAGUGAUGGCCAAUGGAAAAUCACAGUGGCUCCAAGGGUUGCCAAAGGUAUAAGGAUGUCACGUUGUCAGAAUAGGAAAUAAUGGAUGUGAUACAUAGAUUAUUAGAGUUUGUAAGCAUUUUAAUUGAGUUGAAGGCUUGAAGCAAUGUGGUAUGGUAUUAGUCUAAUGAAUAGUUAUAAAAG
This 2728-nucleotide unclassified non-coding RNA is filed under the name Hevea brasiliensis (rubber tree). Lineage: Eukaryota; Viridiplantae; Streptophyta; Magnoliopsida; Malpighiales; Euphorbiaceae. The record is from RNAcentral.